Molecule: long non-coding RNA, 1463 nt
Organism: Arabidopsis lyrata subsp. lyrata
Lineage: Eukaryota; Viridiplantae; Streptophyta; Magnoliopsida; Brassicales; Brassicaceae
Exons: 2
Source: RefSeq, a predicted model, not a curated record
CACAGUUUUGGUUUCCUAAGAAUUUGUGACAGAAAGAAUGAUUUUAUUUUAAUAAUUAAAAUAAUUGUAAAAGUGGGGAUAAGAGAAAAUGGAAUAAUGCUUUGAGCAGAGAGAGCGAGGAUGCUAGAGAACGAGAAUCUUUCUUCGCCGAUCCACCUUGUCUUCUCUUAGCUCAUCGAAUCUCUCCGUCGCCGUCGAUUCGUCCCGCCGAGAUCUUAGCUUCAAUAAAUUAAGUGAUGGCAAAUCAAUGGAACAGAGGCUGGGGUGAUUUAAGUUUUAUUUCGUAAUAAAUUUACGAACCAUUAUAGAUUUGGUUAUUUUUUUCAUGAAUGUUGUUGGGAUAAAAUUCUCAUCGGCCCCCUCUCCUCAAAUCAUUCUCUAGUUAGCCCCCCCAAAUAAAAAACUUGUGUUAAAUUAAUUAUUUUAAUUUUGGAAAAGAGUAAAAGACAAAUAAAAUUUGGGUUUUCAACUUAUUUACUGACCCAACCUCAAUUUGGAUCUAGAUCCACAUAUAUUGGGUCAGAUUUUGGAUCAUUUAACCCCAAAAAUCUCAAAAACGUAAAGUCCCAAAAUCAAAUCCCUAACUCUAAUUUUUUUUCCCCUUUUCUCUCAAAAAAAAUGACUAAUCGCCGUUCAUCUCUCCGUCGUUCUUCUCUCGUCGCCGGCAAACCUUCUUUUCUUCCCUCUUCUCUCCGAAUCGAAACCUUCAUUCUUCUUCUCGUUGGAAAUUCUUUGUUAGAAAUCCAAUCCAAAUCCACGUUCCUUCGUCUCCUUUCUUGUAAGCUAUAAAUUCUUCAUUCUCAUUCUUUCUUUUGUUUGAUUUCGAUGGAUUUUGUUGGGUUUUGUUUGUGAAACGGAUGAUUUUCGGAUUUGAAUUUGUUGUAAUUUUCUGAUUGAAUUUGUCCCAAUUUUUGAUUUGAAUUUCUCUCUAUUUUCGGAUUUGAAUUACUUUAGAUAGAUUCAAAAGGAUUCCGAUUCAAAAUGUGUUUCGGAUUUGAAAUUUGUUGAAAACCCAAACUUUAUCUCUUAUAAUUAUGUAGAUGGAUAAUGAGAUUAUGUGAGUUUGUGUUUGGAUUGCUCGUUUAUUGUCUUGGUUUAGACAAUGAGAGUUUCAUAGUGACCAAAAACCAUCCGUAUUAUUUAGGUAGAAUUUAAGAUUGCUUUUGAAUGUUUGAUAUUGAAGAAAGAGAAGGAGAAGGAAAAAGAGAAGGAGAUGGAGCAAGAGCAGGCGAAGCACAUGGAGCAAGAGAAGAGUUCAGCUCCUAUUUUGGUCUCUGAUGAUGAUUUUCGCUUGUAUUCUGGUCUUUGAUGUUGAUGUAUAAAUUUAAGUGUUUAGGUACAACUGGUACGAUUAGGUACAACUAUGUUUCUGGGUUUAUGUUUUUUGAUUAUGAUGAAUCUUUGAAUUUGAAUCCAAUUAUGUAUGAAUCUUUUAAUCUGAAUCUUAAAUUUUUAUGUAUCAA